RNAcentral lists this transfer RNA (91 nucleotides) under Mycobacterium kansasii. RNAcentral describes it as "tRNA-Arg(gcg)". Lineage: Bacteria; Bacillati; Actinomycetota; Actinomycetes; Mycobacteriales; Mycobacteriaceae. The record is from RNAcentral.
CAACUGCUGGCGUGGACCCGGGUGUUGGGCGCGGUGCUGCGGGCACCGUUCGGUGCAGCUGCGGCCCCGGGCCCGGCGCCCGGGCAGCUGA